AGCGGCAGGCCUAACACAUGCAAGUCGAGGGGCAGCGCAAAGAUAGUUUACUAUUUUGGCGGCGACCGGCGCACGGGUGAGUAACGCGUAUGCAACCUACCUUAUACAGGAGUAUAGCCCGAAGAAAUUCGGAUUAAUCCUCCAUAGUAUUCUUUAAUGGCAUCAUUUGAAGAAUUAAAGCUUCGGCGGUAUAAGAUGGGCAUGCGUCCUAUUAGCUAGAUGGUAAGGUAAUGGCUUACCAUGGCAACGAUAGGUAGGGGGCCUGAGAGGGUGAUCCCCCACACUGGUACUGAGACACGGACCAGACUCCUACGGGAGGCAGCAGUGAGGAAUAUUGGGCAAUGGGCGCAAGCCUGACCCAGCCAUGCCGCGUGCAGGAAGAAUGCCCUAUGGGUUGUAAACUGCUUUUAUUUAGGAAUAAACCCCUUUACGUGUAGAGGGCUGAAUGUACUAAACGAAUAAGCACCGGCUAACUCCGUGCCAGCAGCCGCGGUAAUACGGAGGGUGCAAGCGUUAUCCGGAAUCAUUGGGUUUAAAGGGUCCGCAGGCGGAUGUAUAAGUCAGUGGUGAAAUCCUGCAGCUUAACUGCAGAACUGCCAUUGAUACUGUACAUCUUGAAUUCGGUCGAAGUGGGCGGAAUGUGUAGUGUAGCGGUGAAAUGCAUAGAUAUUACACAGAACACCGAUAGCGAAGGCAGCUCACUAGGCCUGGAUUGACGCUCAGGGACGAAAGCGUGGGGAUCAAACAGGAUUAGAUACCCUGGUAGUCCACGCUGUAAACGAUGAUUACUCGUUUUCGGCGAUAUACAGUCGGAGACUAAGCGAAAGUGAUAAGUAAUCCACCUGGGGAGUAC
Molecule: ribosomal RNA, 853 nt
Filed under: uncultured Cryomorphaceae bacterium
Lineage: Bacteria; Pseudomonadati; Bacteroidota; Flavobacteriia; Flavobacteriales; Cryomorphaceae
Description: bacterial SSU rRNA
Rfam family: Bacterial small subunit ribosomal RNA
Source: RNAcentral